GGAAGUAAAAGUCGUAACAAGCUUUCCGUAGGUGAACCUGCGGAAGGAUCAUUGUUGGAUUUUGAAACUUCAGGCUGCUGCUGGCUCUCCUCGGAGGGCAUGUGCACGCUUGUUGUCCAUUAUUUCUCCCACUGUGCACAAAUUGUAGACCUUUCAGUAGGCCUAUGUUGUUUUUCACAAUCUCUGAAUGUAAUAGAAUGGUUUUGAAUCUUGGGAAAUACAAUACAACUUUCAGCAACGGAUCUCUUGGCUCUC
Molecule: unclassified non-coding RNA, 255 nt
Filed under: plant metagenome
Description: partial contains small subunit ribosomal RNA, internal transcribed spacer 1, and 5.8S ribosomal RNA
Rfam family: Eukaryotic small subunit ribosomal RNA (bases 1-54)
Source: RNAcentral